GUGUUGUAGCUAACGCGUUAAGCACUCCGCCUGGGGACUACGGUCGCAAGACUAAAACUCAAAGGAAUUGACGGGGACCCGCACAAGCGGUGGAGCAUGUGGUUUAAUUCGAUGCAACGCGAAGAACCUUACCACUUCUUGACAUGGAGAUUAGAUCCUUCUUAACAGAAGGGCGCAGUUCGGCUGGAUCUCGCACAGGUGCUGCAUGGCUGUCGUCAGCUCGUGUCGUGAGAUGUUGGGUUAAGUCCCGCAACGAGCGUAACCCUCAUCCUUAGUUGCCAGCGGGUUAAGCCGGGCACUUUAAGGAGACUGCCAGUGGUAAACUGGAGGAAGGUGGGGAUGAUGUCAAGUCAGCACGGCCCUUAUGGGGUGGGCUACACACGUGCUACAAUGGUGACUACAAUAGGUUGCAAUGUCGUAAGGCUGAGCUAAUCCGUAAAAGUCAUCUCAGUUCGGAUUGUCCUCUGCAACUCGAGGGCAUGAAGUCGGAAUCGCUAGUAAUCGUGGAUCAGCAUGCCACGGUGAAUACGUUCUCGGGUCUUGUACACACUGCCCGUCACGCCAU
RNAcentral lists this ribosomal RNA (565 nucleotides) under uncultured Anaplasma sp. Its description in RNAcentral is "bacterial SSU rRNA". It matches the Rfam family "Bacterial small subunit ribosomal RNA", at positions 843 to 1405 of the family's 1533-position model. Lineage: Bacteria; Pseudomonadati; Pseudomonadota; Alphaproteobacteria; Rickettsiales; Anaplasmataceae. The record is from RNAcentral.